This 601-nucleotide long non-coding RNA is filed under the name Homo sapiens (human). RNAcentral describes it as "non-protein coding lnc-CHRNA9-5:1". Lineage: Eukaryota; Metazoa; Chordata; Mammalia; Primates; Hominidae. The record is from RNAcentral.
AAAUGGGGAAUGGGCUAUCAGACCAGACUUCUAUCCUGUCCAACCUGCCUUCAUUUCAGUCCUUCCACAUUGUUAUUCUGGGUUUGGACUGUGCUGGAAAGACAACUGUCUUAUACAGGCUGCAGUUCAAUGAAUUUGUAAAUACCGUACCUACCAAAGGAUUUAACACUGAGAAAAUUAAGGUAACCUUGGGAAAUUCUAAAACAGUCACUUUUCAUUUCUGGGAUGUAGGUGGUCAGGAGAAAUUAAGGCCACUGUGGAAGUCAUAUACCAGAUGCACAGAUGGCAUUGUGUUUGUUGUGGACUCUGUUGAUGUCGAAAGGAUGGAAGAAGCCAAAACUGAACUUCACAAAAUAAAUAGGAUAUCAGAAAAUCAAGGAGUCCCUGUACUUAUAGUUGCUAACAAACAAGAUUUGAAGAACUCAUUGUCUCUUUCAGAAAUUGAGAAAUUGUUAGCAAUGGGUGACCUGAGUUCAUCAACUCCUUGGCAUUUGCAGCCUACCUGUGCAAUCAUAGGAGAUGGCCUAAAGGAAGGACUUGAGAAACUACAUGAUAUGAUCAUUAAAAGAAGAAAAAUGUUGCGGCAACAGAAAAAGAAAGA